RNAcentral lists this long non-coding RNA (6622 nucleotides) under Homo sapiens (human). RNAcentral's name for it is "HSALNT0328760". The record is from RNAcentral. Lineage: Eukaryota; Metazoa; Chordata; Mammalia; Primates; Hominidae.
ACCCGGCUGCUCACCCGGGACGGCCGUCACACCGGCACUACGGGAAGAAGCCGGCCGGCUAGGGCACGGAGCUCUGGGCUUGCGGGGUGCGGCGCACGCCCCUCCCUCCCACCGCCUAAGGUUUUUCCGAAGCUGCUGGGCGUGCGCCGCGUUUCUGAGGCGGGAGGAGACACUUCCGAGCCAGCUGUGUGACAUCCGUUUACACAGCCGCGCUGACGUCUCGAGGUGUAAGUUCAAGAGCUGCCAUUGGCCGGGAGCCGCUGGGCUCUUCCCCUCACCUUCCACCCCUGUCACCACCCCUGACUCGGAAACCGAGGCCACUUCGAAGCCGCGAGGCGGGUUCCGCCGGAAGGGCCAGUGUGGGCGCUGACCGCGCUUCGGGCAGAGUGGCAGAUGCGGCCCCUGGGUGAUGCGCACCGAAGUCAUGUGAGGGGUUGAUUGGUUGUGCGGCACCACUGUUUACCCACUUGUGUUUUCUUAAUUGUUGCGUACUACUGCCUUUCCACAACUUUAUUUCAGAAUGAAAGCAUAUAUCAAAUUACCUGUGCACAGCAGAAAGAUAACAGCUUCCCCACCCAGUGAGCCAUUCAACACCCAGGCUACAAACUGUAGAUCACUUUAUUGUCUACACCCUCGGAAUCCUGUCUAGCCGUCUGUUGUAUAUUUUAAACAUGACGGUGCAGUGCCUGCUAUAUGACAAACGUUGGUGAUCCAGAUGAGAAAGAGGAAACAGCUAUGCAGGCAGUCCUUUAGAAGGUUUGACUAUAUCGAGGCUAAAGAGCUAGGGCAGCUGCUAGAGCGGUACCUGGUGCGGAGAGGUUAGCUUUCACAAGCGAAAAAUUAGAGGAGGCAAAUACCAUGGGAAUGAGCCACUCUAGUGAGAGAAAUAAGAGGAGAAGGUGGAAUGGAGAGUGCUUUAGGAAGGAUACUUUCUUCAUUGUGAUUACAGAGAAUGAGGAAAGGUAGAUAAAGGACGGAUACAGAGAGGUGGAUGUUUCUAGCAGGAAGGUGAAAGAGUUCCUUUCUGUUGGUUUCUGUUUUGCUUCAGAUAGAGCUUGGUUACCUGCUGAAGGGUGGAAGAGAAGUGGCAGGUGUUUAAAAAAAAAUCUGCUAAGGAUAACUUGAGAGAGCUGACUGAGGAAGAAGUAUUGCAAUAUUCAAGGCCCAGUGGCUUGGAGAAGACCACUGUUGGAACCUACAUUGCUAUUCCCACUAUAGUGGCCAGCCCCACCCAGCCUGCUCUCAAACAUGCUGUCAAACAAUUGUUAAUUCUGGCCUUUUUGUCAGAAAUGACCAAUCUUAAGUCUGUCACAUUCAGGGAUCCUUUCAGAGCCUAAUGACAGUUAUGUGGAAUUCUAGAAGCAAAUAUUUGUCAAAAGAUUUCACAGACAUACACGCUAUUCACUAUCAAAUGCAUUGCCUGAACGACAUUUACGUACACAUAUAAUCCACAUAACUUUCAUCCAUUUGCCUGUAGGAGAAUCUUCCAGGGCCCCAGAGCAGUGCUUGAGGACUUAUUACAGAUCCUUUGACAUCUCUACUAGGCUGCACUUUCACAAAAGGCAAGAGUAUUAUAAAGUGUUUUGUAACUUUAUGUCAAAAAUAUGAACCUGUCAGAGCCAGAUGUGGUGGUACCUAUCAUUCAAACUACAACAGGGCUGGUGAGGCGUGAGGAUCGCUUAAGCCCAGCUUGUUAUGAUUAUGCAUGUGAAUAGCCACCGUAGUCCAUCUUGAGCAGCGUAGCGAAACACAGUCUCUUAAAAAAAAUUGCGACCUAUACAUUUCAUAUAAGUUAAAUACACAUCUUCCCUAUGAGCCAGCAAUCCCACAUCUAGGUAUUUAUCCAGAGAAAUAAAAGCAUAUAUCGAUAAAAAGACAUGUACAAAAAUGUCCGUAACAACUUUAUUCAUGGUCACCAAAAACUAUAAACUGCCCAGAUGUCCAUCAGUGGGAGAACGGAUUAAUAAACUGAUAUAUUCAUCUAAUUAAAUACUACUCAGCAACACAAGAGAAAAAGCAUGGAUGAAUCUCAAAAAGUUAGGAUGUUUUAUGCUUUCUGGAUACGGGGCCCUCGAAUCGCUACCUGGUAACAGGCUCCCUAUGUGAUUCCUGUACAGACAGCCUGGCACCAUGCAAAUGUAUCAGAACUACACAUACCAUCCAACUUCAACUUCUUGUUUUUAGAGAUGAAGCAACUGACUCUGAGAGUUCUGAAGUCGUUGCUAAAAUUUACAAUAUUUGUUUCCUUACUCCCAGUUCCUAAACCAUUCAACCACAAGCAAAUUGUCUUUGGUCUACCUAUUGGACUCUGUGCUGACAAAAGAUACUUGUUUUUUUAUAAUUUAGAUAUUUUGCAUGUCUGUUCUCAUCACCCACCAUCAUCACACCACUAGUUCUCCCCAGAAAAAAUUUCAGAUUCUUUGAGGCUUAGGAUUAUCUCUAACCCUUCUUUUUAUUUCUUUACCACAGCAAAUAGCAGAGAGAGUCUUGUAUAGUUCAUCAGUGAUUAAAUAAGCUACUACUAUUAUCAGGAGAGCUGUAAUGAGUUUUGGAACUCAGUACCCUAAAUAAUAAUACUAAUGUUGUAAAUGUUAAAGAUACAGAAUUAUGAAUAAGAGUCAUAAAUUAGAAUUAUAGAGACAGUUGUAGCAGCUGAUGGCUUUGCUAGUUGGGGGGCAGAGAGGGUGGAGUUGCAGUGGAAACCAACUCCGGACAGCCAGGAGCUGGACUGGCACUAUUAGCUAGGCAUUUGUGGUACUGGCAGCUGUCCUGGCAUUCUCAGUUCUCAUUGUUUUGUCAAAUAUAAACAGUCCCACAAAACAUCAACAUCAGUUAUAGUCAUUUUAUGACUACAAUAGGCAAGACAAAAAUAAGACCCCUCCACAAUCAUGUCUGAACACAGCAAAUACAAGAACAGUCUCUAAACCACAAAAAUGACCAAACAUUCUGGUUAAUAUAAGUGACCACUGUUUCUUGGCCAAUUACAGGCUUAGCCUUGAUCCAUUCUUCCUGCCUUCUAGAUAGCAAAUAUUAAAAUAUUAAGUUAUAGGAUCACCUGUUUCCUGCCAGCAUCCAAUCCAGAGCAAAACCUUGACACUUCCCCAAAAUCACCUAACAACACACUCAUUCCUGUAAUGUUUUUCACAAUACCAAUACCUUCUUACUGAGAGUGCUCCUGCCCAACUUCGCUCCUCAUUGCUCUCUGCCUCCCUGCAACAAGACAUUAAACCCACCUUGGUUUGAAUCUAGUUGUUUUCCUGCUGCUCUUUAGCUAGAGGGCAUUAGCAUUUGUUAUUAUCAAAUGUCACCAACCUAUCUAAAGUUAAUCCCUCCUUUGCCCUUUCCUCUUACCGUUUUUAUUUUCUUUAUAGCUCAUUAUCACAUUUUUAAAAAUUGUUGGUUUGUUCAAUUAGAACACAGGCUCCAUGAGGACAGGGAUUUUGUUCAGUUUUUGGGAAGAUAAUCAGGCUACUGUGUGGAAUACGGACUAGAGGAGAAGCAACCUCUUAGAAGGAAGACCAGUUAAAGUUGUUCAAAGGGUCCAUAGAGAAGCCUUAAAAGUAUGAAUUUAGGGCCGGGUGUGAUGGCUCACGCCUUUGAUCCCAGCACUUUGGGAAGUCAAAGCGGGCAGAUCACCUGAGGUCAGGAGUUCAAGACCAGCCUGACCAACAUGGUGAAAUCUCACACUACUAAAAAUACAAAAAUUAGUUGGGCACAGUGGCGCAUGUCUGUAAUCCCAGCUACUCAGGAGGCUGAGGCAGGAGAAUCACUUGAACCUGGAAGGCAGGGGUUGCAGUGAGCUGAGAUUGUGCCAUUGCACUCCAGCCUGGGCAACAAGUGCAAAACUCCAUCUCAAAAAACAAAAAGCAAAACAAAAAAAAGAAUGUAGGCAUUCUGGGAAUAAUGAAGUAAGGUUGUUAUUGAGAAACAUUUCUGAUGUGGAGUUGUCAGGAUUUAAUUCUGAAUUGGAUAGAGGGAAGGGAAUGAUGAAUAUAGGGAGAAAACCCCCAAAUUGCUUGUUCUUAUGAUUUAUUUCAAUGAAUAACUUAUGGUGAAAUAAUGGAUUCUAUAACGUAAAAUAGUUACAUAUUUGAAUAAUAUUCCAACCUGAGGUAGAUUUGAGUUAUGGCAUACUGAGAUUCACACUGAAAACCAGUAUAUAAAUUUAAAAUGUGGCAAAAAGGUAAAAAGAAAAGUUUUUUCUUCUUUGCUAACAUAGGUUAUACUAAAUUUGAAAUUCACAUUUGCUUAUAAAAAGACAGCCUUUUGUAAAAGGUUUUCAUGCUGCUUGAAGUUGGGUAAUGGUGGUUGUGGUAAAUAGCUAAAACAUCCUAUAGCACCAGUGACGCACAAGGAGAACAAAGUUCACAUGCCAUUGAUCCCAGUAAUUGUGGUAAAUGUGACAGAUGGCCUAGAAAGACAUUGUCUGAUGCAUCUUAAAAUCAUGGAACACCCAGGUGUUCAGUAGAUUUAAUUCCAUAUUAUAUUGUGUUUUUGCUGAAAUACUCAAGGCCAAAGAUGAUAGUGAAAAACAAGUUUCCAGAGAAUUCCCUUCAGGACAAUCUAUAUUCCUGAGUAAUUUGUUUCAGACAUGAUAUGAAAGUUCAGCUGCUGCCUGGCCUGUUCUUCCCUAAGCUCUUCUCUUGACUGAUUCAUUCUGAGUUUCCAGAUGAUAUCAGCCCUAAUAUCACCUCCUGUCAUGAGAGCUCUUCCCCAGUCACUCUGUUACACUCCCCUGUUCAUUUCCUUCACAGCAGUUACCACGGUCCGCAGUUGUGGUAUUUCUGUGUUAUUUGACUAUCAUUCCCAUCAGAAUUAAUUCCUACUUUGUUUCCUCUCAAAUUGCCAGCACCUAAAUUUGUUAAUCAACUGAAUUUUAAAGGCAGAUUUUCGGAGUCUGAGACAGGAGGAACACUUAAGUCCAGGAGUUCGAGACCAGCUUGGGCAACAUAGGGAGACCUUAUCUUUACGAAAAAUUUAAAAAUUAGCCGGACAUGUUAGCUCACACCUAUACUCCCAGCUAAUCUAGAGGCUGAGGCGGAAGGGUAGCUUGAGCCCGGGAGGUCAAGGCCACAGUGAGCCAUGAUCUUGCACCACUGCGCUCCAGAACCUGGGCGACAGCGUGAGAGACACCCUGUCUCAAAAAGAACCAAAUAAAUAAGUAAAGGCAGAUUAUCCUAGGUGGGCCUGACAUAAUCAAGUGAACUCUUAAAAAGAGGGUCAAGGAACGGCUGGGCGUGGUGGCUCACACCUGUAAUCGUAGCACUUUGGGAGGCCGAGGCAGGUGGAUUGCCUGAGCUCAGGAGUUCGAGACCAGCCUGGGCAACAUGGUGAAACCCCGUUUCUACUGAAAUACAAAAAAAAAAAAAAAAAAAAAAAAAGUAGCCUGUAGUCCCAGCUACUCAGGAGGCUGAGGCAGGAGAAUUGCUUGAACCUGGGAGGUGGAGGUUGCAGUGAGCCAAGAUCGUGCCACUGCACUCCAGCCUGGUGACAGAGCGAGACUCCAAAAAAAAAAAAAAAAAAAAAAAAAAGGUCAAGGAGAAGUCAGGGAGAUUGAAAGCAACAGCAGAUGCUUUUCUUUUAGCCGUGAAGAAGUAAAGUUUCAUGUUAUAGUGAGACCUAUAUGGCAGAAAAUGGCAAGUGGCCUCUAAGAACUGAGAGUAGCCCCUAGCUGAUGGUCAGCAAGAAAGCAGGCCUUCCUUCCUACAGGAUUCUUAAUUCUGCCAACAACCACAUGAGUUUGGAAGAAUACCCAGAACUACAGAAGGGAGCACAGCUUGGCUGACACCUUGAUUUCAGCCUGGUGAGAACCUGAGCAGAGAACCCAGCUGAGCCCAUGCCAGGACUUCUGACUUACAGAACUACGAGAUAAUAAAUAUGUUAUUUUAAGUCACUUCAUUUCUGGUAAUUCGUUUUUGCAUCAAAUGCAAAUGUUUUUGCAUGGAAUAAAGUGUGUAUUCAAAUACAGUCAUAUGGAUACCAAAACUUGAUGUAGUUUUAAUAGCAGAAACCAAAUGAUCAAUUAUCCAUAACUUCAAAGAUUAAUUCAACCUCAUGAAAAGAAACAACUAAUCAGAAGUUAAUACCUGCACAGACUAUUUGUUGUUCUCCCACUUUUGCAUAAAUUAGAUAAUUGAGACAAAGAUAUGGGCUUAUUUCUUUUGCUUAAGACUCACAUAUUUAUCUUUUCCUUAGAUGGAAUUAGUGUAACACAAAGAUGUUCCACUAUUUAUAUUCCUUCAAUUCUGUGUGUGUCUAUAUUCUAUAAUUAGUAUUUUCUCAUUUUCAACUGACAGAAAUAGUGCUUAUAGAAAAAAGAAUUAAAUUACAUGUGUCUCCCUAACAUUAAAUGUUUUUUCUCCUAAAUUUAUUUUUUUUUCCUUUUUUUUUUCUUUUUUUUGAGAUGGAGUCUCACUCCAUCACCCAGCCUGGAGUGCAGUGGUGCUAUCUCAGCUCACUGAAACCUCCGCCUCCCAGGUUCAAGCAAUUCUCCUGCCUCAGCCUCCCAAGUAGUUGGGAUUACAGGCAUGUGCCGCCACACCCAGCUAAUUUUUGUAUUUUUAGUAGAAACAGGGUUUCACCAUAUUGGCCAGGCUGGUCUCAAACCCCUGACCUCAAAUGA